GGCUCGUUCUUCCAACGGUUAAGGAUGUCAGGUUGUCAACCUGGCGAUGCGGGUUCGAUUCCCGUACGAGCCG
RNAcentral lists this transfer RNA (73 nucleotides) under Gemmataceae bacterium. RNAcentral describes it as "tRNA-Asp". It matches the Rfam family "tRNA". From Rfam's summary of the family: Transfer RNA (tRNA) molecules are approximately 80 nucleotides in length. Their secondary structure includes four short double-helical elements and three loops (D, anti-codon, and T loops). The record is from RNAcentral. RNAcentral also lists the same sequence under 1 other name. Lineage: Bacteria; Pseudomonadati; Planctomycetota; Planctomycetia; Gemmatales; Gemmataceae.